Molecule: ribosomal RNA, 423 nt
Filed under: Triticum aestivum (bread wheat)
Lineage: Eukaryota; Viridiplantae; Streptophyta; Magnoliopsida; Poales; Poaceae
Description: partial small subunit ribosomal RNA
Source: RNAcentral
AUGACGUCGGUUCCCUGUCCGUCGGCACCGCUGCACAGUCCGCACUUCUUUGGACUUGACGUUGACCUCGACCUUCAUGCUGGCAUCGCAGUGCCCAGAGACGCCGCAGAUGAAAUAUCGGGUCCCGACGGUGGCAAGCGGAACAACAUCGUUACCGGUCGAGAAAGUCGCUAUGGGGCUGGAGCCGUUGCAAGAGUCGUACCCUGUCUUGCUCACCUCCACCAUGUUGUGCACAUCGGUGGAGUACUGGAACUUGAGCUCAUCGCCGGUGGUGAACCUGAUUCUGGAAACCCACUGGGAGUAGUUGGUCUGAGGUCCCACGAACCGUUCGGCGCUCCCACGGUGUGGCUGGCGCCGAGCGCCGUCCCAAGCAUGGCCAUGGCCACGGUGAUCAGAAUAAGAGCUUUGGUCCCCAUGGAUUAA